Molecule: long non-coding RNA, 2859 nt
Organism: Dermochelys coriacea (leatherback sea turtle)
Lineage: Eukaryota; Metazoa; Chordata; Testudines; Dermochelyidae
Exons: 3
Source: RefSeq, a predicted model, not a curated record
UGCGGCGGAGCUCGGGGAAGGGAGCAACGCUGGCCUCUCAGGCAGGCGGCGAGGGGGAACAUGGCUGUGCGGCCAGCCUCGGCGCUGCGGGGAGCGGCGGCCUCCGGGCCUCGCCGGCGCCGGGGGGGGGGGGGCGCGCCUGCGCGAGGGAGUGUCCCUCGGGAAAGGCGGGGGAGACGCUCAACGGCCCUCCAGGGCCACCCACCCCCGUCCUGGAGCCGGGGAACCCCUGCGGGAAAACCAGGCGGGGAACAGGAGGCUGGGCAGGGCUAGGCCUCAGAGCAGGCCCUGCCUCCCCUCCAUUUCCUCAGGCCUCCCCUGGGACCUGCUCUUCUCUGCUUCAAAGCAAGCCGACGCCUCUGGUUCUCAGCUGGAUUAGAGCCCCCCCCCACGCACCCCCCUCAACCUCCCCCCCAACACACACACACACACACAGGGGGAAAGAUCCUGGUCAUGUACAGCUGAUCAGGGAGACUGGCACCUUUGCGUAACUGACGGGGGGGGGCCUCUGUUUUCACAUAACAACAGACAAAUUGCACAUCGCUCCAGGUUUCAGAGCGGUGGCCGUGUUAGUCCCUAUCAGGAAAAAGAACAAGGAGUCCUCAGAGCACAUUAGAGACUAACCACGUUAGUUGGGCAUGGAUCAGCUGAAUUCCACCACUGCAAAAGGUAAUAGGGAAAGACCAGACCUACACGGCCCUUUGCUACGUGAUCCAUCUGUGAUCUUGAGAUGAUGAUGAUGCACAGAGUAAUGAAAUUCUUUUCCAGUUAUUGCAUUUGAGAUACGAAGAGGUCAGAGGGGAGCACUGUCUAUGCUUUGAUGAUGCAAGCGCUGCAGGUUGAAGUUUUCUUCUCUUUUCAUGGAGAUCAUCUUUACCAACAGUUCCAAGUCCCACCUGACAUUCGCUGUUGGCUAAGGCCUGUUCAGGGAAUGCACUGCUCAUUUUCUAGCUCCUGUAUUGAAGGGACUCAGUUACACCGGCUCAGACCCAAGGUCCAUCCAGUACCGUGUUUUGUCCUGGAUGCGUCAGAGGAAGGUGUAAAACACCAGAGUGGACAGCUAUGGAAUAAUCUAGUAAUCUGGGGCUAUGCACAGUUUUGUGGCUGGAACUGGGUAAUACAAACCAAAACCGGACUUUGGACUAUCUGGCCCUGGUUCUGAGCCCACAUACAACAGUGGUACACCAGCAUAUUCCCACCGCCCCUUGUGGAGUUACUCCUGGAUCGACACUUUAUACAGCUGAGAGGAGAGUCAAGCCCUUGGUCUCUCAGUCUAACUCAUCCAAUAAGCAUACUACACAAAUGGGCGAGGAGCAACAACUAUACAGCAUAGGUCCUGGAAAUUGGGAUGUUACCGCACCCUCUGUCUUGAAGCGGUUUCCAUUAUAUACGGGGUUUAUUGUUUGGUUCAGUGGCUCCUAGCACCCCGAUGAUAAAAAUAGUUCCAGCCCCCUUGCUAUACAGUGGAACAGUACUUCUUUAGCCAACAAGUGUUGGUUUUACAUCUGGAACUUAUCCAGCAACAGCCAGACUGUGUGCAUGAGAGAGAGAGAGAAAGCGCAAGCGAGCGAGCACGGAAUGGGGGAUCACCCACAGCUAUUGCAAUGAGAGAAGUGUCUCCCUUGCAUUCUUUUUUUCACAAGAGGCUGGAGCAUUUGUAAUAGGAACCUCUAUGCUCCCUCUCCCUCCCAUGGCUCAGUAAGGAUCACAUUUUUUCCCCAACCCUUCUAUGCAGCUGUUGUUCAAUAGCUGGCUUUUCCUGCUGGAAACCAACAGACUGACUCAGUAACAUAAUAUUUUCCUCUGCAUGGAACAUCUGCCACAGGUUCUUUAUUCCUUGCCUGGAUUAGAACAGCUUCUGAGCUUGAUGUUGAGCAGUUUGCAAAGUGGCAGAUGAAGUACUCUGCCUUCAUACCAUUGGCCAAGCUACAGUUCCACAUCUGGCCAACGACCUGUACAGCUUGGUCACUUGGGUACGUAACCGUUCCAGUCAGGAACCCGACACCUAAAGCAGACGCGGUCAUUAGCUCUGCUGGCUGAGACCAUCUGUGGCUCCUGCAGAUGGAUAGUUACUCCGGAGCACGGCCCAUGGCAACGUGGCUUUUCCAAGCUGCUUUAUGCCCACAUCAGUUACGCAGCAAUACUUGUUAUUUCAUGCAUAAGGAAUAAAUAUAAUGUGAUGAAAGUAUUAUUAUAAUUACUCCUAAUAGCCUCAACAUGUAUUUAGUCCAGGAUGUGGUUAACAGAGGGGAAGCAAUUAUCGGAAGUGUCUAAGAGAUUUAGGAUCACAAGCCCAACUGAAAGUCAAGUCACUUCUACACAUUUACAGAAGAUAAACAGUCUGAAAGCCCGGGAACGUGCUAGCCCAGGCCAUGGUUAUUACCAAGUACAACUUUAAGGCUCUAUAAGGAAAUACAGGGCUCUUCUGCUGCAUCACCCUAGACAGGUGCUAACAUCCUGCCUUCAUAGUCAGGGUAAUUACUGCUGAGUCAUGCACACAGGUGGAUCCAAUCAGCAUCAACUGGGAUACAAAAGGGGAUAAGGGGUGUCAAACUACAAACUCCAUUUGGACUGUAAGGCUGUCCUGUGUCUUCUGUAACUUCAAGGGGUGGUGAUGGGGCUAACAAUGGAGGGUCGUCAAACCUUGAUGAUGUCCUAUUCAAAUGGAAGCACUCUGGGACAAAGAGCUGACUACCACCCAGGGCAAACCAGUUUUUCAAGUCUUGGCUCCAGAGGGGUGGUGAUCAAGCAAGCGAUCAAGAAAACAACAGAACGCCACUAGCCAUCACCUUCAGCCCCCAACUAAAACCUCUCCAACGCAUCAUCAAGGAUCUACAACCUAUCCUGAAGGACGAGCCA